AUUUGAUGAUGGGGACAGCUUGCACAAAGUUUCUUAAACCGCUCCCAAUAUUCAUAUAAACUCUCUUCAUUGUAUUGUCGAAUGCCACAAAUUUCUUUUCUUAUGUU
Non-coding RNA from Jatropha curcas, 107 nucleotides. NCBI's taxonomy places the organism in Eukaryota, Viridiplantae, Streptophyta, Magnoliopsida, Malpighiales, Euphorbiaceae. The record is from Rfam.